GGGCGAUUAGCUCAUUUGGCUAGAGCGUGGCAUUGACGUUGCCAAGGUGAUAGGUUCGAAUCCUAUAUCGCCCACCA
Molecule: transfer RNA, 77 nt
Filed under: Candidatus Saccharimonadota bacterium
Lineage: Bacteria; Candidatus Saccharimonadota
Description: Candidatus Saccharibacteria bacterium tRNA-Val
Rfam family: tRNA
About the family: Transfer RNA (tRNA) molecules are approximately 80 nucleotides in length. Their secondary structure includes four short double-helical elements and three loops (D, anti-codon, and T loops).
Source: RNAcentral